This 825-nucleotide ribosomal RNA is filed under the name uncultured bacterium. RNAcentral describes it as "bacterial SSU rRNA". It matches the Rfam family "Bacterial small subunit ribosomal RNA", at positions 11 to 857 of the family's 1533-position model. The record is from RNAcentral.
GUUUGAUCCUGGCUCAGGACGAACGCUGGCGGCGUGGAUUAGGCAUGCAAGUCGCGCGACGGGUCCUUCGGGCUACGGAGCGGCGAACGGGUGAGUAACACGUGAAUAACCUGUCCCUACAUUCCGGAUAAUUGGCCGAAAGGCCUUGUAAUACGGGGGAGGGUCGUUGAGGGGCAUCUCUUGACGAAGGAAGGCGCAAGCCGUGCGGGGAGGGGUUCGCGGAUUAUCAGCUAGUUGGUGGGGUAACGGCCUACCAAGGCGACGACGAUUAGGUGGUCUGAGAGGAUGGUCACCCACAUUGGAACUGACACACUGUCCAGACUCCUACGGGAGGCUGCAGUCGAGAAUCUUGGGCAAUGCACGAAAGUGUGACCCAGCGACGCCGCGUGGAGGAUGAAGGACCUCUGGUUCGUAAACUCCUUUUAAGGGAGAAGAAGCUCUGACGGUAUCCCCUGAAUAAGCCACGGCUAACUACGUGCCAACAGCCGCGGUAAUACGUAGGUGGCAAGCGUUGUCCGGAUUUACUGGGCGUAAAGCGUAUGCAGGCGGACCUUUAAGUAUGAAGUGAAAGGUUGGAGCUCAACUCUAACACUGCUCCCUAUACUGGAGGUCUUGAGUGCCGGAGAGGAAGAUGGAACUACACGUGUAGCGGUGAAAUGCGUUGAGAUGUGUAGGAACACCAAUGGCGAAAGCAAUCUUCUGGACGGAUACUGACGCUGAGAUACGAAAGCCAAGGUAGCAAACAGGAUUAGAUACCCUGGUAGUCUUGGCCAUAAACGAUGUUCACUAGGUGUUGGGGGGUUUCCCUCGGUGCCGCAGCUAACG